CGCGUAGGCGGCGCGGAAAGUCAACGGUGAAAGCUCGGGGCUCAACCCCGAGUCGGCCGUCGAUACUUCUGUGCUUGAGCACUGUAGAGGCAGGUGGAAUUCCGGGUGUAGCGGUGGAAUGCGUAGAGAUCCGGAAGAACACCGGUGGCGAAGGCGGCCUGCUGGGCAGUAGCUGACGCUGAUGCGCGACAGCGUGGGGAGCAAACAGGAUUAGAUACCCUGGUAGUCCACGCCGUAAACGAUGGGCACUAGGUGCUUGGGGGAGCGACCCCUUGAGUGCCGGCGCUAACGCAUUAAGUGCCCCGCCUGGGGAGUACGGCCGCAAGGCUGAA
This 332-nucleotide ribosomal RNA is filed under the name uncultured bacterium. RNAcentral's name for it is "bacterial SSU rRNA". It matches the Rfam family "Bacterial small subunit ribosomal RNA", at positions 568 to 898 of the family's 1533-position model. The record is from RNAcentral.